UGGGGUAUAGCCAAGCGGUAAGGCAUCGGGUUUUGGUCUCGUGAUCCUAGGUUCGAAUCCUAGUACCCCAG
Molecule: transfer RNA, 71 nt
Filed under: Candidatus Cytomitobacter indipagum
Lineage: Bacteria; Pseudomonadati; Pseudomonadota; Alphaproteobacteria; Holosporales; Holosporaceae
Description: tRNA-Gln
Rfam family: tRNA
About the family: Transfer RNA (tRNA) molecules are approximately 80 nucleotides in length. Their secondary structure includes four short double-helical elements and three loops (D, anti-codon, and T loops). Further hydrogen bonds mediate the characteristic L-shaped molecular structure. tRNAs have two regions of fundamental functional importance: the anti-codon, which is responsible for specific mRNA codon recognition, and the 3' end, to which the tRNAs corresponding amino acid is attached (by aminoacyl-tRNA synthetases). tRNAs cope with the degeneracy of the genetic code in two manners: having more than one tRNA (with a specific anti-codon) for a particular amino acid; and 'wobble' base-pairing, i.e. permitting non-standard base-pairing at the 3rd anti-codon position.
Source: RNAcentral